RNAcentral lists this ribosomal RNA (253 nucleotides) under uncultured bacterium. RNAcentral's name for it is "partial 16S ribosomal RNA". It matches the Rfam family "Bacterial small subunit ribosomal RNA", at positions 524 to 776 of the family's 1533-position model. The record is from RNAcentral.
UACAGAGGGGGCAAGCGUUGUUCGGAAUUACUGGGCGUAAAGGGCGCGUAGGCGGCCUGUUAAGUCGGACGUGAAAUCCCCGGGCUCAACCCGGGAACUGCGUCCGAUACUGGCAGGCUUGAAUCCGGGAGAGGGAUGUGGAAUUCCAGGUGUAGCGGUGAAAUGCGUAGAUAUCUGGAGGAACACCGGUGGCGAAGGCGGGUCUCUGGGCCGAUACUGACGCUGAGGAGCGAAAGCGUGGGGAGCGAACAGG